AUUAACGGCUGCGGCAUGCCUUACACAUGCAAGUCGAACGGCAGCACGGGUGCUUGCACCUGGUGGCGAGUGGCGAACGGGUGAGUAAUACAUCGGAACGUACCUUAUCGUGGGGGAUAACGCAGCGAAAGUUGCGCUAAUACCGCAUACGCCCUGAGGGGGAAAGCGGGGGACCGUAAGGCCUCGCGCGAUUAGAGCGGCCGAUGUCUGAUUAGCUUGUUGGUGAGGUAAAAGCUCACCAAGGCGAUGAUCAGUAGCUGGUCUGAGAGGACGAUCAGCCACACUGGGACUGAGACACGGCCCAGACUCCUACGGGAGGCAGCAGUGGGGAAUUUUGGACAAUGGGGGCAACCCUGAUCCAGCAAUGCCGCGUGAGUGAAGAAGGCCUUCGGGUUGUAAAGCUCUUUUGUCAGGGAAGAAACAGCAGCUCUAACACAGACUGCGAAUGACGGUACCUGAAGAAUAAGCACCGGCUAACUACGUGCCAGCAGCCGCGGUAAUACGUAGGGUGCGAGCGUUAAUCGGAAUUACUGGGCGUAAAGCGUGCGCAGGCGGUUAUACAAGACAGGCGUGAAAUCCCCGGGCUUAACCUGGGAAUGGCGUCUGUGACUGUAUAGCUAGAGUGUGUCAGAGGGGGGUGGAAUUCCACGUGUAGCAGUGAAAUGCGUAGAUAUGUGGAGGAACACCAAUGGCGAAGGCAGCCCCCUGGGAUAACAC
RNAcentral lists this ribosomal RNA (717 nucleotides) under uncultured bacterium. RNAcentral's name for it is "bacterial SSU rRNA". It matches the Rfam family "Bacterial small subunit ribosomal RNA", at positions 28 to 740 of the family's 1533-position model. The record is from RNAcentral.